GGCGAGGGGAGGGAAGCGCGCGGGCGCCAAUGAGUUCACUUUCUUUUUCUCCCCCGCGCGCUCCCCCUCGCGCUUCCCGCCCGGCCCCUCCAACCUCCUCCACCGGCCAGAAUCCCGGUUUCUCGGUCCGGGGAGUGGGAGGAUGGAGGAAGCGAGGGAGGAAGGAGAGAAGGAAAAGGUGAACAGGCGAGCAGGGCGCUGUGCCAGGGAGCAGCAUCCAGGACCGUAAUUGUGGGCAAGGGCGGGGGACGUUCUGGGCGAGUGUGCCCGAGACCAGGCGCGUACACNNNNNNNNNNGUGUGUGUGUGUGUGUGUGUGUGUGUGUGUGUGUGUGUGUGUGUGUGUGCGCGUGUAUGUGUAAGAGAGAGGAGCGGAGCCUACCAUGCGCUUCCCUGGUGCGGAUCGCGGGAGAGCCCAAUCACAGGGCGAGCUGGACCUGGCUGUGAUCAUUUAUAAUCCUUGACUCCUCCGCUCCGCCACUUGUCAAGAUGACAGGGGUCAUCCAUGAAUAACACUUCAUGCUGAUGAAUGGCUCUUGCCGGCUUUCGGCUCUGAUGAGGGGUCUGCCGGCCGCUGAUUGCAAACACUAAUGAACUUACAGCGCCAUUUGAAAUUCACACGCACCAACAAAGUGAGGGGAUUAUUAGCAGCACAACACCGCCCCUGCCACACUCCCUUGGCAGUGGGAGCCGAAACAACUUUACCUCCCUAAGGACACUGCCACUUUGUAAGUUUCUGCCAAAACUCUACUCCGGGAAGCUCCAGCCCCGGGCUCCGCCCCCGCCCCCACCCUCACCCCUAGCUGCGGAAAGCCCACCCGGGGAGCCAUUUUUCACUGCCCAAAAGCUCCUGCCCUUUGAGUUUUGGAACUCCAAACUUAGAACCUUUACAGAAUCGCGCUCUGGCUUCCUGCCUCCAGCCACCUCCAGGCUUCUUUCUGUCCGCUGGAGGGAUUGGGUCCAACGCCCUGGAGAGAACCACUGCACCAAUGAGAGUCUAGCUCCUCGAGGAGCGCCCAGGUAUUCCCUGAGACCAGCCUGGAGCUGCCAGAAGCAGUGGAGAGUCCCCAGGCCUGCCCUGAACUACUGCCUGCCGACCGGUCUCAGCCAAGCCCUUGGGUCCCACCUCCAAUGCGAAUUUCAGCACAGAGGACUCCACCAAUCAGUAUCUAACUUGUCCUGGCUGGAAUCGAAGACAUUUGUAUUUUUAACUGCGUUCACAAGAACAAAUCUAUCAGUCAGGCAAACAUAG
Molecule: long non-coding RNA, 1251 nt
Filed under: Mus spicilegus (steppe mouse)
Lineage: Eukaryota; Metazoa; Chordata; Mammalia; Rodentia; Muridae
Description: lncRNA (ENSMSIG00000030894.1)
Source: RNAcentral